UGUGUUUAAUUCGAUGCAACGCGAAAAACUUACCUACCCUUGACAUGCUAGGACUUGCCAGAGAUGGCUUGGUGCCCGAAAGGGAACCUAGACACAGGUGCUGCAUGGCUGUCGUCAGCUCGUGUCGUGAGAUGUUGGGUUAAGUCCCGCAACGAGCGCAACCCUUGUCAUUAAUUGCCAUCAUUCAGUUGGGCACUUUAAUGAGACUGCCGGUGACAAACCGGAGGAAGGUGGGGAUGACGUCAAGUCCUCAUGGCCCUUAUGGGUAGGGCUUCACACGUAAUACAAUGGUCGGUACAGAGGGUUGCCAACCCGCGAGGGGGAGCCAAUCCCGGAAAACCGAUCGUAGUCCGGAUUGCAGUCUGCAACUCGACUGCAUGAAGUCGGAAUCGCUAGUAAUCGCGGAUCAGCAUGUCGCGGUGAAUACGUUCCCGGGCCUU
Molecule: ribosomal RNA, 440 nt
Filed under: uncultured Methylophilaceae bacterium
Lineage: Bacteria; Pseudomonadati; Pseudomonadota; Betaproteobacteria; Nitrosomonadales; Methylophilaceae
Description: bacterial SSU rRNA
Rfam family: Bacterial small subunit ribosomal RNA
Source: RNAcentral